Molecule: ribosomal RNA, 494 nt
Filed under: uncultured bacterium
Lineage: Bacteria
Description: partial 16S ribosomal RNA
Rfam family: Bacterial small subunit ribosomal RNA
Source: RNAcentral
GACGAACGCUGGCGGCGUGCUUAACACAUGCAAGUCGAACGGAAAGGCCUGCUUUCCCUUGUGGAUUGCGGGUACUCGAGUGGCGAACGGGUGAGUAACACGUGAGUGAUCUGCCCCCAACUUGGGUAUAAGCCUGGGAAACUGGGUCUAAUUCCCGAUAGGACUGCAGGGUGGUGCCUGUGGUGGAAAACGAUUUUCUAGUGGUUGGGGAUGAGCUCGCGGCCUAUCAGCUUGUUGGUGGGGUAAUGGCCUACCAAGGCGGCGACGGGUAGCCGGCCUGAGAGUGUGGACGGCCACAUUGGGACUGAGACACGGCCCAGACGCCUACGGGAGGCAGCAGUGGGGAAUAUUGCACAAUGGGCGGAAGCCUGAUGCAGCGACGCCGCGUGGGGGAUGACGGCCUUCGGGUUGUAAACUCCUUUCGACCGCGAGGAAGCCACCUGGUUGGAAGGGUGGUGACGGUAGUGGUAGAAGAAGCACCGGCUAACUACGUG